RNAcentral lists this ribosomal RNA (253 nucleotides) under uncultured bacterium. RNAcentral describes it as "partial 16S ribosomal RNA". It matches the Rfam family "Bacterial small subunit ribosomal RNA", at positions 524 to 776 of the family's 1533-position model. The record is from RNAcentral.
UACGAAGGGGGCUAGCGUUGCUCGGAAUUACUGGGCGUAAAGGGCGCGUAGGCGGACAGUUUAGUCAGAGGUGAAAGCCCAGGGCUCAACCUUGGAAUUGCCUUUGAUACUGGCUGUCUUGAGUAUGGAAGAGGUAUGUGGAACUCCGAGUGUAGAGGUGAAAUUCGUAGAUAUUCGGAAGAACACCAGUGGCGAAGGCGACAUACUGGUCCAUUACUGACGCUGAGGCGCGAAAGCGUGGGGAGCAAACAGG